RNAcentral lists this ribosomal RNA (432 nucleotides) under uncultured bacterium. RNAcentral's name for it is "partial 16S ribosomal RNA". It matches the Rfam family "Bacterial small subunit ribosomal RNA", at positions 29 to 507 of the family's 1533-position model. The record is from RNAcentral.
ACGCACGCUGGCGGCAGGCUUAACACAUGCAAGUCGAGCGCAUCCUUCGGGGUGAGCGGCGGACGGGUGAGUAACGCGUGGGAACGUGCCCUCUUCUACGGAAUAGCCUCGGGAAACUGAGAGUAAUGCCGUAUACGCCCGCAAGGGGAAAGAUUUAUCGGAGGAGGAUCGGCCCGCGUUGGAUUAGGUAGUUGGUGGGGUAACGGCCUACCAAGCCGACGAUCCAUAGCUGGUUUGAGAGGAUGAUCAGCCACACUGGGACUGAGACACGGCCCAGACUCCUACGGGAGGCAGCAGUGGGGAAUCUUGGACAAUGGGGGCAACCCUGAUCCAGCCAUGCCGCGUGAUCGAUGAAGGCCUUAGGGUUGUAAAGAUCUUUCAGCUGGGAAGAUAAUGACGGUACCAGCAGAAGAAGCCCCGGCUAACUCCGUG